CCUACGGGUGGCAGCAGUGGGGAAUAUUGGGCAAUGGAGGAAACUCUGACCCAGCAACGCCGCGUGAAUGAUGAAGGUCUUCGGAUUGUACAGUUCUUUUCUAAGGGAAGAAGAAAGUGACGGUACUUUAGGAUUAAGCCUCGGCUAACUACGUGCCAGCAGUCGCGGUAAUACGUAGGAGGCAAGCGUUAUCCGGAAUGACUGGGCGUAAGGGGUGCGUAGGUGGUUUGAUAAGUUGGUAGCGUAACUCCGAGGCUCAACCUCGGCACUACUACCAAAACUGUCGGACUUGAGUGCAGGAGGGGCAACUGGAAUUCCUAGUGUAGCGGUGGAAUGCGUAGAUAUUAGGAGGAACACCAGUGGCGAAGGCGAGUUGCUGGACUGUAACUGACACUGAGGCACGAAAGCGUGGGGAGCAAACAGGAUUAGAUACCCGGGUAGUC
This 443-nucleotide ribosomal RNA is filed under the name uncultured bacterium. Its description in RNAcentral is "partial 16S ribosomal RNA". It matches the Rfam family "Bacterial small subunit ribosomal RNA", at positions 338 to 795 of the family's 1533-position model. The record is from RNAcentral.